RNAcentral lists this ribosomal RNA (380 nucleotides) under uncultured eukaryote. RNAcentral's name for it is "partial 18S ribosomal RNA". It matches the Rfam family "Eukaryotic small subunit ribosomal RNA", at positions 592 to 976 of the family's 1831-position model. The record is from RNAcentral.
CAAUAGCGUAUAUUAAAGUUGUUGCAGUUAAAAAGCUCGUAGUUGGAUUUGUGGCGUACGGUGGGUUCCGGGCACUUGUUGUCUGAGUAACUUGCUGUUGCCAUCCUUGGGUGGAACCUGUGUGGCAUUAGGUUGUCGUGCAGGGGAUGCCCAUCAUUUACUGUGAAAAAAUUAGAGUGUUCAAAGCAGGCUUAUGCCGUUGAAUAUAUUAGCAUGGAAUAAUGAGAUAGGACUUUUUUGCUAUUUUGUUGGUUUGCGCAAAGAGGUAAUGAUUAAUAGGGACAGUUAGGGGUAUUCGUAUUCCAUUGUCAGAGGUGAAAUUCUUGGAUUUUUGGAAGACGAACUACUGCGAAAGCAUUUACCAAGGAUGUUUCCAUUAA